This 2531-nucleotide ribosomal RNA is filed under the name Escherichia coli. Its description in RNAcentral is "bacterial LSU rRNA". It matches the Rfam family "Bacterial large subunit ribosomal RNA", at positions 296 to 2821 of the family's 2925-position model. The record is from RNAcentral. Lineage: Bacteria; Pseudomonadati; Pseudomonadota; Gammaproteobacteria; Enterobacterales; Enterobacteriaceae.
AGCCCAGAGCCUGAAUCAGUGUGUGUGUUAGUGGAAGCGUCUGGAAAGGCGCGCGAUACAGGGUGACAGCCCCGUACACAAAAAUGCACAUACUGUGAGCUCGAUGAGUAGGGCGGGACACGUGGUAUCCUGUCUGAAUAUGGGGGGACCAUCCUCCAAGGCUAAAUACUCCUGACUGACCGAUAGUGAACCAGUACCGUGAGGGAAAGGCGAAAAGAACCCCGGCGAGGGGAGUGAAAAAGAACCUGAAACCGUGUACGUACAAGCAGUGGGAGCCUCUUAAUGGGGUGACUGCGUACCUUUUGUAUAAUGGGUCAGCGACUUAUAUUCUGUAGCAAGGUUAACCGAAUAGGGGAGCCGAAGGGAAACCGAGUCUUAACUGGGCGUUAAGUUGCAGGGUAUAGACCCGAAACCCGGUGAUCUAGCCAUGGGCAGGUUGAAGGUUGGGUAACACUAACUGGAGGACCGAACCGACUAAUGUUGAAAAAUUAGCGGAUGACUUGUGGCUGGGGGUGAAAGGCCAAUCAAACCGGGAGAUAGCUGGUUCUCCCCGAAAGCUAUUUAGGUAGCGCCUCGUGAAUUCAUCUCCGGGGGUAGAGCACUGUUUCGGCAAGGGGGUCAUCCCGACUUACCAACCCGAUGCAAACUGCGAAUACCGGAGAAUGUUAUCACGGGAGACACACGGCGGGUGCUAACGUCCGUCGUGAAGAGGGAAACAACCCAGACCGCCAGCUAAGGUCCCAAAGUCAUGGUUAAGUGGGAAACGAUGUGGGAAGGCCCAGACAGCCAGGAUGUUGGCUUAGAAGCAGCCAUCAUUUAAAGAAAGCGUAAUAGCUCACUGGUCGAGUCGGCCUGCGCGGAAGAUGUAACGGGGCUAAACCAUGCACCGAAGCUGCGGCAGCGACACUAUGUGUUGUUGGGUAGGGGAGCGUUCUGUAAGCCUGUGAAGGUGUACUGUGAGGUAUGCUGGAGGUAUCAGAAGUGCGAAUGCUGACAUAAGUAACGAUAAAGCGGGUGAAAAGCCCGCUCGCCGGAAGACCAAGGGUUCCUGUCCAACGUUAAUCGGGGCAGGGUGAGUCGACCCCUAAGGCGAGGCCGAAAGGCGUAGUCGAUGGGAAACAGGUUAAUAUUCCUGUACUUGGUGUUACUGCGAAGGGGGGACGGAGAAGGCUAUGUUGGCCGGGCGACGGUUGUCCCGGUUUAAGCGUGUAGGCUGGUUUUCCAGGCAAAUCCGGAAAAUCAAGGCUGAGGCGUGAUGACGAGGCACUACGGUGCUGAAGCAACAAAUGCCCUGCUUCCAGGAAAAGCCUCUAAGCAUCAGGUAACAUCAAAUCGUACCCCAAACCGACACAGGUGGUCAGGUAGAGAAUACCAAGGCGCUUGAGAGAACUCGGGUGAAGGAACUAGGCAAAAUGGUGCCGUAACUUCGGGAGAAGGCACGCUGAUAUGUAGGUGAAGUCCCUCGCGGAUGGAGCUGAAAUCAGUCGAAGAUACCAGCUGGCUGCAACUGUUUAUUAAAAACACAGCACUGUGCAAACACGAAAGUGGACGUAUACGGUGUGACGCCUGCCCGGUGCCGGAAGGUUAAUUGAUGGGGUUAGCGGUAACGCGAAGCUCUUGAUCGAAGCCCCGGUAAACGGCGGCCGUAACUAUAACGGUCCUAAGGUAGCGAAAUUCCUUGUCGGGUAAGUUCCGACCUGCACGAAUGGCGUAAUGAUGGCCAGGCUGUCUCCACCCGAGACUCAGUGAAAUUGAACUCGCUGUGAAGAUGCAGUGUACCCGCGGCAAGACGGAAAGACCCCGUGAACCUUUACUAUAGCUUGACACUGAACAUUGAGCCUUGAUGUGUAGGAUAGGUGGGAGGCUUUGAAGUGUGGACGCCAGUCUGCAUGGAGCCGGCCUUGAAAUACCACCCUUUAAUGUUUGAUGUUCUAACGUUGGCCCCUGAUCGGGGUUGCGGACAGUGUCUGGUGGGUAGUUUGACUGGGGCGGUCUCCUCCUAAAGAGUAACGGAGGAGCACGAAGGUUGGCUAAUCCUGGUCGGACAUCAGGAGGUUAGUGCAAUGGCAUAAGCCAGCUUGACUGCGAGCGUGACGGCGCGAGCAGGUGCGAAAGCAGGUCAUAGUGAUCCGGUGGUUCUGAAUGGAAGGGCCAUCGCUCAACGGAUAAAAGGUACUCCGGGGAUAACAGGCUGAUACCGCCCAAGAGUUCAUAUCGACGGCGGUGUUUGGCACCUCGAUGUCGGCUCAUCACAUCCUGGGGCUGAAGUAGGUCCCAAGGGUAUGGCUGUUCGCCAUUUAAAGUGGUACGCGAGCUGGGUUUAGAACGUCGUGAGACAGUUCGGUCCCUAUCUGCCGUGGGCGCUGGAGAACUGAGGGGGGCUGCUCCUAGUACGAGAGGACCGGAGUGGACGCAUCACUGGUGUUCGGGUUGUCAUGCCAAUGGCACUGCCCGGUAGCUAAAUGCGGAAGAGAUAAGUGCUGAAAGCAUCUAAGCACGAAACUUGCCCCGAGAUGAGUUCUCCCUGACUC